This 915-nucleotide long non-coding RNA is filed under the name Chrysemys picta bellii (western painted turtle). RNAcentral's name for it is "lncRNA (ENSCPBG00000015734.1)". The record is from RNAcentral. Lineage: Eukaryota; Metazoa; Chordata; Testudines; Emydidae.
CAGAUGGUUUGGAGGGGAGAAAAAGAAAAGGCAGAGUGCCUAGAGUUUGACAUCUCCAAUAAAUUCCCAGGAGUCUGUUUUAUAAAUGUCAGCAUAUUUGUGGUGGUUCAUGCAGGUGCUUACACAGGACUUGUGGCCUUUCACCUAGCAUAAUUAACUUCCUUUUAUUUCACAAUGUUUACCAUUUCUUUCCUUAACCUUUUUGUUUUUACAGAGUGCUCUUGAAGGAAAACUCAGCAAGUUGCUCAAACACCUGCUUGCCAUGAGGCAAACACUGAGCUUCAUACUUGCCCCAGGACAGGAGUCCUGUGAGAAAGCUCAUCAGAUACUACCAACUGUUGUUUAUGCUAGAUUGCUAAAUCAUGUGACUAGAUGUCAUCAAUCUCUGGAGGAAUGCUGUAGCGACUUGCUUGUUUUGACACUUAUUGUACCAUCUGCACCUUGGGUAAAACUGGAGCACUCCUUGAGCCAAGAAUUCACUGUGGAGAAUGUACUUGCAAUAUUGCCUGCAUUUCCCAAGGGGGCCCCUCAGCAACGGGCCAAAAGGGCUGCAGAAACCCUGGUGAAAGCUUGUAAUUAUUCCAGAUUAAUGGCAAUGCAACAGCACAGCUAUUCCAGUCUCCCACUUAUAAAAGGCUGAUCAAGAAGUUAAACGGUUGAUGGGUGGCUGUGGCUGCUGUCUUUUGAGAUACAUGCUCUGCAAGCUGAACUCAAUUUCCAUAGAAGCAUGUACAACCUCCAAGUUAAGUACACUGAAGCUGUUUUUGAGGGGAUAAAGCAAGCCUACCACACUUUUCAAGAGAAUGUUGUGUCAGUUCUAUGUUCACCGCUACAAGGUUAGUGUGUGUUUUUGUGGUAUUUCCAGCAGCACAAACUGAAACCAGUUGGAAAAUACUGAUAAGCAUUAAAUAAAAG